This 548-nucleotide ribosomal RNA is filed under the name uncultured Glomus. RNAcentral describes it as "SSU rRNA". It matches the Rfam family "Eukaryotic small subunit ribosomal RNA", at positions 548 to 1098 of the family's 1831-position model. The record is from RNAcentral. Lineage: Eukaryota; Fungi; Glomeromycota; Glomeromycetes; Glomerales; Glomeraceae.
UUGGAGGGCAAGUCUGGUGCCAGCAGCCGCGGUAAUUCCAGCUCCAAUAGCGUAUAUUAAAGUUGUUGCAGUUAAAAAGCUCGUAGUUGAAUUUCGAGACCGGCUUACUGGUCGUGCUAUUGUACGUACUGGUAUAAUCGGUUUCUCCUUUCUGACGAACUAUAAUGCCAUUAAUUUGGUGUUUUAGGGAAUCAGGACUGUUACUUUGAAAAAAUUAGAGUGUUUAAAGCAGGCAUACGCUUGAAUACAUUAGCAUGGAAUAAUGAAAUAGGACGUUUGAUUCUAUUUUGUUGGUUUCUAGGAUCGACGUAAUGAUUAAUAGGGAUAGUUGGGGGCAUUAGUAUUCAAUUGUCAGAGGUGAAAUUCUUGGAUUUAUUGAAGACUAACUACUGCGAAAGCAUUUGCCAAGGAUGUUUUCAUUAAUCAAGAACGAAAGUUAGGGGAUCGAAGACGAUCAGAUACCGUCGUAGUCUUAACCAUAAACUAUGCCGACUAGGGAUCGGAUGAUGUUAAUUUUUUAAUGACUCAUUCGGCGCCUUACGGGAAAC